This 18-nucleotide non-coding RNA is filed under the name Arabidopsis thaliana (thale cress). The record is from RNAcentral. Lineage: Eukaryota; Viridiplantae; Streptophyta; Magnoliopsida; Brassicales; Brassicaceae.
GCUCCUACCGAUUGAAUG